This 74-nucleotide transfer RNA is filed under the name Alosa alosa (allis shad). Its description in RNAcentral is "tRNA-OTHER". The record is from RNAcentral. Lineage: Eukaryota; Metazoa; Chordata; Actinopteri; Clupeiformes; Clupeidae.
GCAGUCGUGGCCUACUGGUUAGGGCUUCGGGCUUGUAACCAGAGGGUUGCUGGUUCGAUCCCCGACCAAUAGGA